CCUUUUGUCAGAGGGUGGUCUAGGAAUGGGAAGGGUGUGGAUUUGUUGGUCCUAACUUGUUGUUGAUGCGGUGGAGCCGUGUGUGUGUGUGUGUGUGUGUGUCACCAUCUGCUGCCUAGAAACCCCCGGCUGACAUCACACAUCACACAGUAUAAAUGGUCACUUCAGCAGUCGUGUCAGUGGGAGCCGCUGCCCUGACCCUUAACGGGUGUGCCAUGCACGUGUUUGCUUGUUCUAUUGCUGUAGUUCAUGUUUUUAGUCACUUUUCCUACUUGAAGUCAAACUGCUGUAAAAAAAAAAAAAGUCUAUUUACAUAUUUGUCAACUGGGGAUGAAAGUACAGUUGUGGCAUCACGCCCAAAUCAUUUAAUGGCUCCUUCCACACUUCCUGCCCACCUGCCUUCCUCGAGUCGACUGCACUCAUCUUCCGACUUGUCUUUCAUUAGGAUCCCAACUACACACCUGUAGGGUUUCGUAACAGCUUCUAGCCCGGCGGCUACGCUACUGUACUUACCAAAUCGGUCUACGAAUCCAGUUCUCUCCUGCUGGAAGGUGUCUGCAGGCACAUUUUACCAUGAUCACAGACACACACAGAUACACAAACAAGGCUAAUUUCUUAAAGAAACUCAAGAAGAACUGUUGCAUUUAAGAAUACACCAAAUAACUUAACACUAAAGGCUGCACCUUACUAUUUAAGUUCAUCGACAGCAGGAAUCCAGAGCGUCACUGAUUAGCAACAUUAUACUAUUUUAUUCCUACCGAUGCACUCAAAGGCACGACCGUCUAAGGCUAUAUCUAAGACUAUAUAAGACUAUAUCUAAGACUAUUUCUGAGACUAUAUCUGAGACUAUCUAAGACUAUCCAAAACUAUAUCUAAGACUAUAUCUAAGGUUAUAUCUAUGGUUAUAUCUAAGACUAUAUCUAAGGUUAUAUCUAUGGUUAUAUCUAUGACUAGCUAAGGCCAUAUCUAUGGCCGUCUAAGGCUUUUGCUGGUGGGGUUCAGUUCAAUAUUGGCAGCUGCGUACGAUGCUUUGUUCAAGGUCGUAAGAACUUGUUUUUUUUCCCUUUCGAAUCAAGCCAGCAUUGUUGCUUUGUGAAUUCUGAGAAUCUGAAGGACUCACCUUCCUUUUUCAAAGCCUCGUUAAUCUCUGCUGCCCCGGCUAAUAAACAUCAUGCACUGAAAGAGAGCUCACAAAGAAGAACAGUAAUUCGUUUUCCUCCUGUGAGCUAAUCAAUUCUCCUAUAACUCUGUUGGAUGUGGCCUUAUGCACUUUUCUCUUGAUCUACCUGGCAACUGUGACCUCAUCCCAUCUUUCAGGAUUUAAAUUUGAACAAAAUCAAAACGCAAAUCGGAUUUAAUCUUGAUUCGUAUUUUCUCGGUUUGUCGGUUUAAAAGUGUUUACGUCAGCACAAAGACGCUUCCCAACUUUUCACUGGCGAAUAAUUGGCGAAUAAUCAUCCUCAUCCUCUUAUAUCCACAGUUAUACUCAACGUGGUCCGCAGGGCAGUGGCAGCUUCAUUGUUUGCCUGCAUGUCAGCUUUCACCGUGGGCCGCUGUUGCACCUGAUCCAGAAGGCAGAGCGAUGCAGGUGAUUAAGGUUUGAAGGACAGAGAAUUAUAUAAUAAAUGAACAAACAAGAGAGGUAGAUAAAAAAUGAACAAACAAGCCACUCAGUCGCCGUUCAAGGGAGCGGCUGCCUCCUGCCAUCUGUUGUGGGAAUAACUGUGCUGCUUGUUGACACGAGAAUCUGCAGAAUAACAGACCUUUUUAAGUUUUAAUGUGUGUUUGUUUUAUGAAUAAUACACGGUUAAUACACACCUGUGUUGAUUAACAGUGUGUCAGUGAUCCCUGGUGAUGCACAGAUGUGAUGCGUCUCUUUGGGUUUUUUAUUUUCCUUUUUGUUGUGUGUUUGGGAAAAAGAAGCUGAUUUAGUUUUUGUUUGUUUCAUAUGUUUGAUUUUCCGCUCGUCACUCAUUGAUCAUGUAUGGCCCAAAAGGCUGCAGAGCUGUAAAGGGAGAGCCUCACAGAAUGCACCGUUGGAGGAUGGACUGACAGCGCCCCCUGGUGGUUAAACACGAGCACCACUGUUCGCUUAAUAAGAAGCAUUAAAGUUAAACAAUAAAGGUUUUUCUUUUCUAGAUUGUCACAUAUUUUUAUUUAUUUUUAUCUUUAAAAAUGAAUGAAAAAAUGUAUUAAUAACGAAUACUUGGUUGAACCUUGGAGAGGAGCUUCAGAAAAGAAAAUAUUUCUAUUUUGCCAGCAUUGCCACAAGCCACAUGUUUGGAUCGAUAGAUAGGAAAUGUUGUGCUGGUCGUAGAAAUAUGAUUAUGGAAUCCAACAGACUCACACACUCGGCCCCUGUCAUGUGUCAACAGGGAAAACACCGCGGGAGUGAACACCAGAGUGACCUUUGACCCCCUCAGCCCCAAACAGAGCCCGAGAGGACGGCCGCGGGUCAGAGAGAAGAAGAGAGGCAUCGAACCAAUGAAUCAAUAAUUACAGAGAGUCUUGUGACUAUUCUACCAUUAUAUUUAUAUAAUAGUGCUGUAUAACAAUGACAAUGAAACAUCCCUUUAGAUUUUUAAAGAUAUUUCCGUUUUAAAGGCCCAAGAAUAUUAACGUUUGUAAAAGUGAGUUCUCUCUAAAUCUGACCAAAUAAAGGCAACAGCAGUUUGAUCGCUAUGUGGAUUUUUCUAUGGGGAUUAUUGAUCUUUUACAAAAAUAAAGCAUUGUUUCUUUCUAAAUCCUGAUCCUGU
This is a long non-coding RNA of Gasterosteus aculeatus aculeatus (three-spined stickleback), 2756 nucleotides long. The record is from Ensembl. NCBI's taxonomy places the organism in Eukaryota, Metazoa, Chordata, Actinopteri, Perciformes, Gasterosteidae.